GGAGGAACAAUGGGCAGAGGAGAGAAGUAACGUUAGAGUUGUGGUGUCAAGAAAACCAGUGACGAAUAGGGCAAGUGACUUGGGUUGGAACAACAUGGGGGCCAGAGAGCUUCUGCUUCGUUAUUCAACAGAUGGAGAAUUAACACCAAUUAGCCUCAAGUUCUGCCCAUCUUCACUGCUACACUAUGACACCUGGACAAGAGUACAAACCUGAGGCCACAAGAGCCAAUUAGAACGGGAAACACAGAUGUUUGACGUGUGGCUGAAGACUGGACAUAAUUAUCAGAGGCGAAUAUGUGUGAAAACAUGGAUCUAGAGUACCAAAUACCUGUAAGCAAUUUAGGUGAGUGACAUGGACAAUUGUAUUUAAUUUUACACUCUAAGAAACGCCUGUAGAAAUAUGUACUUUUUAAAUAUGAAGACAUUUUUUGUAUUUUGAAUUAUCCAUUGCAGUGUUUU
Molecule: long non-coding RNA, 459 nt
Organism: Pimephales promelas (fathead minnow)
Lineage: Eukaryota; Metazoa; Chordata; Actinopteri; Cypriniformes; Leuciscidae
Source: RefSeq, a predicted model, not a curated record